UACGGAGGGGGCUAGCGUUGUUCGGAAUUACUGGGCGUAAAGCGCACGUAGGCGGAUUAGUAAGUCAGGGGUGAAAUCCCGUUGCUCAACCUCGGAACUGCCUUUGAUACUGCUGAUCUAGAGUCCGGAAGAGGGGAGUGGAAUUCCUAGUGUAGAGGUGAAAUUCGUAGAUAGUAGGAAGAACACCAGUGGCGAAGGCCGCUCACUGGUCCAGUACUGACGCUGAGGUGCGAAAGCGUGGGGAGCAAACAGG
RNAcentral lists this ribosomal RNA (253 nucleotides) under uncultured bacterium. RNAcentral's name for it is "partial 16S ribosomal RNA". It matches the Rfam family "Bacterial small subunit ribosomal RNA", at positions 524 to 776 of the family's 1533-position model. The record is from RNAcentral.